This 1668-nucleotide long non-coding RNA is filed under the name Capsella rubella. Its description in RNAcentral is "long non-coding RNA (CRUB_LNC003229)". Lineage: Eukaryota; Viridiplantae; Streptophyta; Magnoliopsida; Brassicales; Brassicaceae. The record is from RNAcentral.
UUUAUUCUACAAAUGUCAAAUAGUCUUGAUAUGCUUGCAAGGUAUUGAACUUCUAAUUAAUCUCAAGUCAUUUUAUAUGUAAUCAAUAUUAUAAAUUACUUUAAUUAGUAAAAAGUUACCUGUUCAUCGAUGAACUUGGCCCAAAAUCGAGCCAUGGCUUUCUCGUAAGGAUCUUGAGGUAGAAUUGGAUUAGUAGUCCAUGUUUGGUCGAUGUAUUCGAGGAUGACAUGUGACUCGGACAAGAUUUUAUCAUUGUGGACAAGAACCGGAACCUUCUUGUGAACUGGAUUAAGCUCAAGAAGCAAAGUGCUCUUUUUGGGUAAGUCUUCCUCCAAGUACUCGUAUGGUACGCCUUUAAGUUUGAGAGCCAUCUCGACCCUACGACUAAAAGGGCUUAUCCAAAACCCUAAAAGCUUCACACUCUCUUCUUUCUUCUCCAUUAGAUCUCUCUCUCUCUCACUUGUUCACUUUUUGGUUUCUAUUAUCUCACUCCUUUGUUCUUCUCUCUUUACCUUUUCUGGUUCCUUCUCUUGUUUGAUUACUAUUUUAAUGUCUCUAUAAAUCAAGUUGUUGCAUACACCACUCUAGUUAUUUUAUUGUUGUUUCGUACUAGCAAUUGGCUUUUACAGACACUAACCACGUUGUCCCUUUGCGAAUUACGAGUUUUAUAGAGUAUUUUAUUGUAUUGCUAAAACUUUUGAGGUUUUGCCUUUGUUUGUUUCCUAUAGUUUAUGUGUUAAUUGAAAAGAUAAUCAUGGAAGACAGAAAAAUUAAUAUAACUGUAAUAAUAUGACUUGUUGAAUGUUGAUAGUAUGAACUUUCCACACUUGUCUAUUGUAUCCUAUAAAAAUAUGGAUUUGAAGUAGAUUACUCUAUUAUAGUAAAUGAAACAUGUUAUAAUAAAACUUUUAAUGGAUUUGGAUGUGAUAGAUACCAAAACUUAAAUUCAUGGAUAAACCAUGUUAUUUCAAAAUUAAUCUACAUUUUUUAUUUUUUAAACCAAUGAGAAUUAUGGAUUUCAAAAUCCUUGAACCAAUACAAAUAUUACCGGACGACCAAGAAGUACGCAGUUGUGUUUAAUUUAAUUUAGGCAGACAUAAUUUUCUCUGCAAUUUUGGUCAUUCGCUCCACUUGUUUAUCUCUUGGAGGAAUACAUUCCCUCACGGCCUCAACGUCUUCCAAGUUACUGAUCCAUCUGUUUAGUUCUGGAAACAACUCCUUUGGAAUCAUAUCGAUCCCUAAACCUUCCCAAAGCCGAGCUAGACAAAAUGGGAUCAUACUUCCUGCGACCAUGUCCAAGAAUCCGACUGUCUUGCCGCCAAAGAAAUCCUUCCCGGUGACUUGCUUCUCAAGAAACAUAAGCAUUUCUUGAGUCUCUUCAAUAGCAACUUCUCUUCCCUUCUCUGCUUUCACCAAGGACCUGAACCCUAACGUUAAGAUCUGCAAGUAAAGAACAAUACAUAAGCAAAAGAAAUAAAGGAUCCUGAUUUUAAAUGUUUUAUCAGUAUACCUGCUCAUCGAUGAACUUGGCCCAAAAUCGAGCCAUGGCUUUGUCGUAAGGAUCUUGAGGAAGAAUCGGAUUGUUAUUCUUCCAUGUCUGAUCGAUGUAUUCGAUGAUCAGAUGUGACUCGGGUAAUACUUUAUCAUUGUGGACAAGAACAGGAACUU